RNAcentral lists this ribosomal RNA (253 nucleotides) under uncultured bacterium. RNAcentral's name for it is "partial 16S ribosomal RNA". It matches the Rfam family "Bacterial small subunit ribosomal RNA", at positions 524 to 776 of the family's 1533-position model. The record is from RNAcentral.
UACGAAGGGAGCUAGCGUUGUUCGGAAUCACUGGGCGUAAAGCGCACGUAGGCGGAUGUGUCAGUCAGGGGUGAAAUCCCGGAGCUCAACUUCGGAACUGCCUUUGAUACAGCACGUCUUGAGUCCGAUAGAGGUGGGUGGAAUUCCUAGUGUAGAGGUGAAAUUCGUAGAUAUUCGGAAGAACACCGGUGGCGAAGGCGGCUCACUGGCUCAUUACUGACGCUCAGGCGCGAUAGCGUGGGGAUCAAACAGG